CCAUCGUCAUUGCGUGAAUCAGCCUUAUUCACUCGAUAUAUAAUUGGUGAAACAAGAAUACAAUUACAUCUUUAAGCACACCAUUCAAAAGAUUGAAGUUUCUUCAACAUAAUGUGAUAUAUACUAUAAAAGCGCGCCGUACGGACUAAAAUAAGCAUGUGAGGUCUUCGUAAAAUAUGUUUUCAAGGCAGUUUUGAAAUCCAAUAUGGCAGCACCUGUGUGAGGUGCCGUUCGUAAGCGUAGCGGAGCCACCAUCUUUCCCAGCACUUAUUAGAACAAUGUUAGUGUAUAUAUGUAACGCUUAUUGAUCUUACUCAAGAUUGCAGUUAUAAUCAGCACAAUAAAACAACUUUUUCUUGCCUACAUUAGUGAAUGUACGAAACUUCUUAUUCCCGGGGUCAUGGUUUGAACUGAAAUUCAUUUUUACCUUGUAAUCGGUGGUUUUAUCCUUUCUGCCACACAACUGAAACUCCACAGUGCUUAUUUGAUUGUAAUUAUACAUGUUUUGGUCUUAAUUCACUCCAAAUUGCACUUGAACUACGUUGCGGUUAAUGGUUCCUAAGCUCUCACUACACAAACACAGUUGCGGGCAGCACACGAGUACACGGUUUAUGAGGUGCAAAGCUUUACUCCUUUAAUUUUUUAAGUUACACAUUAUUUUGUUUAACUUUACUUUGUUACUUCAAAAUGUUUAUUUAAUUCAUGUCUAUUAUCCCUUUUUUUGCAACCAAAUUAACCCUGAAAAAUUACAAAUAUUUUUAAAGUAGAUACGAGCAGACGACAAAAUGACUCAUCGUUGCCAAUCUAGUGGAGCUUCACACAUACGCCGAUGCAUUUACAAACUUUUUUAUGAAUUCUAGUUGUCAUAGUAAUGCAAUAAUGAUCAGAUUGCUCUAAUAUGUAUAUAGUAUACUACAAAUCGAUAUGCUAAUUUCACUUAUUUCCCCAGGUUUGUGUAAGUCUUAUACCUAGUUUGGAGGGUAAACACAUACCAAUUGACAACACUGAUAAACAAUAGAAGAGUGUGAAGAACGCCGUUGGUACUGUUCACCGCAAAACUCUUGAUAUUUGAGUCAGGAAUUUAGUUACUUUUUCAACAACAAAUAUUUUCAAAUUAGUAAUCAUGAAUAUGUAAAAAAUUUAUGCAGUUCAUGACCUGCAUUUAACUAUUUAUUAAAAUAAUUAUCUAGUACACGCUUCUUCUUCUACUUUUUCGGAGGGUGGCUUCACAAGCGGUGGAAACUGGAUGCGCAAGUCCAGUCGGUUGUUUCCCCUAUUUCGUAAUUUAGGAGAAAACACUUACUUUGAGAGGAACAUAGAGGUCUUGUUGUGCUGCCAGGAUGGGCCUCAACUCUUGACUGAUGUCACGGCAGUGAAUUCAAGUACUUUUUCUUGGGAAGGUGGCUGCAUUCCAGGAUCGGUGGACGCUAUGUCGCCGCUCGGUCAUUUACCCUGUGGAAUCACAACUCAAUAGUAGACACAAUCUUUAUAUCCUACAAUUUGUGGGACCACAGUGAGAAAGUGAAACACUACAAGGACUUUUAUUUCAUUAAUUGUUCUCAUUCAAAUUUACAAAGUUUUUGGAAGGUUUUCAAACUACUGUACUAAUAGCUACCAGCACUUUGAUAAGGACCUGGUAUCCAAUGUUAGAUGGACCCUUGGUCACACUGGAGCAGAAAUUGAAAUAAGUACGUGUAAUGUUUGAAGCAAACCUAAGCAUUUUCAACUAGUCACAGAUUCAUGCUAGAAAGAAAGGACUUUGUGGCUUAGGUGGAAGAGACCAUAAAUCUGGAUAGUUUUAGGAUGUUUGAACUCUGAACAUACAUCUGCCUCUCAAACUAUUGUGGUAGUAGCAUCACUUUUCAGAGUUGAUCAAGAUUCAUGAGGACACCAGGUUGGUUGGCAGUGCGUGUGGCCUGUCCUGUACUGUUAUCAAGAGAUCUAAUAUGGAUGCACAAGGUUCCCAGAAUAACUUGUUUCAGGUUGGAAGGUGGGGGAGCACAUCUACAGAAACUCCUGAUGACAUCUAGAACUCCUGGCUUCAGGUUGGAUAGCACAUCUACAACUACUCCUGAUGACAUUCUAGAACUCCUGGCUUCAGAUUGGAAGGUUGGGUAGCACAUCUAGAAGAACUCCUUCAGGUUGGGGAGCAUAUCUACAAGAACUCCUGUAGACAUCUCGAACAACUCCUGGCUUCGAGGAGGUGGUAGUUGGAUAUCAGGAACUUAGUAGUUGGAGAGCUUCUUCAUUCCCCCCACCCCCCAAGAUACUUGGAUGCCACGUUGGAAAGUUGGGGAGCACAUCUACAAGAACUCUUGGAGACAUCUAGAAGAACUCCUGGCUUCAGGGAGGUGGAGUUUUCAAGACAAACUCCUCCAUAUCAAUGUACUGAAUUUGAAAGCAGCCUUCCUACAUUUCAGGAACUUCAAGAAAGGAUGAUGGGUUACUCUGUAGUCCUGGUGUCUAAUUAUAUCCGUGACUCCAGUCUUCUAAGAUGCAAGUGGUCAAUUCCUGUAUAAGAAAGGUUAUGCCCCUUCAUCGAUGAAUUUCCUGCAAUAAAAGUUCUGUUAGUAGCACUUUUCUUUCACA
Long non-coding RNA from Macrobrachium nipponense, 2589 nucleotides. RefSeq lists it as uncharacterized. The transcript is spliced from 4 exons. The record is from RefSeq and is a predicted model, not a curated record. NCBI's taxonomy places the organism in Eukaryota, Metazoa, Arthropoda, Malacostraca, Decapoda, Palaemonidae.